This 162-nucleotide ribosomal RNA is filed under the name Bacillus wiedmannii. RNAcentral describes it as "partial 16S ribosomal RNA". It matches the Rfam family "Bacterial small subunit ribosomal RNA", at positions 1234 to 1395 of the family's 1533-position model. The record is from RNAcentral. Lineage: Bacteria; Bacillati; Bacillota; Bacilli; Caryophanales; Bacillaceae.
ACGGUACAAAGAGCUGCAAGACCGCGAGGUGGAGCUAAUCUCAUAAAACCGUUCUCAGUUCGGAUUGUAGGCUGCAACUCGCCUACAUGAAGCUGGAAUCGCUAGUAAUCGCGGAUCAGCAUGCCGCGGUGAAUACGUUCCCGGGCCUUGUACACACCGCCC